This 207-nucleotide ribosomal RNA is filed under the name uncultured bacterium. RNAcentral describes it as "partial 16S ribosomal RNA". It matches the Rfam family "Bacterial small subunit ribosomal RNA", at positions 568 to 774 of the family's 1533-position model. The record is from RNAcentral.
CGUACAGGCGGCUUUGUAAGUCAGAUGUGAAAUCCUUGAGCUUAACUUGAGAACUGCAUUUGAUACUGCUUGGCUUGAGAUCAGGAGAGGAAAGCGGAAUAUGUGGUGUAGCGGUGAAAUGCGCAGAUAUCACAUAGAACACCGGUGGCGAAGGCGGCUUUCUGGCCUGACUCUGACGCUGACGCGCGAAAGCUAGGGGAGCGAACG